RNAcentral lists this long non-coding RNA (800 nucleotides) under Nicotiana benthamiana. Its description in RNAcentral is "long non-coding RNA (NBEN_LNC031465)". Lineage: Eukaryota; Viridiplantae; Streptophyta; Magnoliopsida; Solanales; Solanaceae. The record is from RNAcentral.
GUAAGUACAUAUGAGUUUUAAUUAAGGGAAGAAUUUUGAGAUACACAGCUAAAACAAGUAAGGUAAGGAUCAAUCAGUAUACAAUAAAUCAAGGGGUCAGAGUUUUGAAAUUACUGGCUCAUGAAUAGGCUAAGGAAAGUUUUCGACUCAAAUCAAGUAACAGGGAGAUCAACAAACAAGGAAAGAAAUCAAUCACACUUAUAAAAGGAAAUCUGAAAUCAAUCAAAAUUGAAAGCCAUUUUUAGAGGGAAGUGCAACACAUAUAAGAGCACUUAAAUACUAGGCAUACGAUACUAAGUUUAGGACACAAAGAAGAAGUGUCAUGCAAUGGUAAAAGCCAGUAGAUAGUCACAUAGGUCAGCUUGUAGAGAAGAUAGUAUCAACCAACAUAAAGACCUUAGAAAUGUUUACUAUAGAAUCAAAAUUGGUUAAAGAAACAAAAGUUCAAACAAGGAUUUGAAGACUCAGUUGAGCAGUAGAUGAAACAAAUUCAGAAAGUGGAAGUAUAUCCAAAAGUGUUAGGGUUUCCGAAAUCAAACAAGUUCAAAGAGGAAGAACAAGAAAAUCACAUAACCAAGGGCCUCAAAACUCAGAUGAACCCCCACAUUUAGGGUUUUUGCCAUUAAUCAAUUGCAGAGAUGAAAGGGCAAGUUAUUAAGGGAAAAGAUAGUAAUCGAGGCAGGUUUAGAGGUCUUAGAAAGGAACUGAGACCCCGUAACAUGCUCUUUCAGUAGCAGGAACUCAUGAGAAGCAUAGUAAAAGAACAAUACAUGAAACAAAGUAUUAGAACUCAAAGAAAC